GGGAUAGCCUAAUGGUAAAGGCACUCGACUAUUAAUCGAGCAGUCAAACGGCUUUUCCACUCGGGCGUUUCAUUCUUCUCUGACAGCAUUUGCGUCCAGCCGAAGAGGCCAUACACGCCCAUUGGCUCUCGGGGUCGCCGGUUCGAACCCGGCUUUCCUCC
This 161-nucleotide transfer RNA is filed under the name Archangium lansingense. RNAcentral's name for it is "tRNA-Asn". It matches the Rfam family "tRNA". Rfam says of the family: Transfer RNA (tRNA) molecules are approximately 80 nucleotides in length. Their secondary structure includes four short double-helical elements and three loops (D, anti-codon, and T loops). Lineage: Bacteria; Pseudomonadati; Myxococcota; Myxococcia; Myxococcales; Archangiaceae. The record is from RNAcentral.